CUCUCCAGCCCAAGCGCAACUCUGAACCUGACCCUGACCUCCGACCCCAGAACACUUGGAGGCCCCUGGAGCCUCUUCCUGGGCUGUUCAGAGGCAUGAUCUAGACUCAGACCUACCUGGUUCCUGCACCGCGAUCACCUAGUUCCGGGGAUGUGGGUCUAUCACUGUCCCUGGCCGAGCCUCAGCUUCAUCUGUAAGAAAGGGGAGGGGUGGACGACGGCUGUGCGGGCGGGGUGAGCCUGGGGCGUGGCACCAGCCCUCUAUCCAAACAUGUUUGCUUACACUUACAGGUUAGCACCCCUAGCUCCUGGGAGGAGACAGGAGGCUGAAAACAACUUGGAGACCGGUGUGCACCGCACCGCAUAGUCUGCCAUCCUCUUCAGGUCUCAUACCUCUCUUGAUCUCCCCAACUACUAGAUGAAGCGGGUACUGCCAUCCCACUUUCCAGCAGGGCACAAGCUUCUCCAAGAAACAGGGUCUCACUGUGUUGCCCAGGCUGGCUUGAACUGGGUUUCAGCAAUCCUCCCACCUCAGCCUCCGAAAAUGCUGGGAUUACAAGCAUGAGUCACCACGCCUGGCCUGAAAACAUCUUCUCUAACACAAAGAUUUGUAUGUGAACGUUCUGUGAGGUAAAGUAGCACACCUAGGAAGCCAUGCAUGCUCGUUUCUGUUUGCAGCACAAUUUCACAAAGCCCCACCUCUGUGACCACCUGCAGCUCUCCAGAAAGAUGCUUUGAAGACAAAACGUGACGAGCACAGUCUCCAUCCCCACACCUCUGGCUUGAGUUGCUACAUUCUCUAAAAGAUCCAUGACCCUAGCCUUGCCUUUUCCUCCUCAUAACAUCUUAGUGAUGAUGUUAGUGAUGAUGCCUCUGUAAUCUAUAACCAGAUGUAUUCUUACC
Molecule: long non-coding RNA, 902 nt
Filed under: Piliocolobus tephrosceles (Ugandan red Colobus)
Lineage: Eukaryota; Metazoa; Chordata; Mammalia; Primates; Cercopithecidae
Description: lncRNA (ENSPTEG00000027142.1)
Source: RNAcentral